This is a long non-coding RNA of Mustela lutreola (European mink), 1652 nucleotides long. RefSeq lists it as uncharacterized. NCBI's taxonomy places the organism in Eukaryota, Metazoa, Chordata, Mammalia, Carnivora, Mustelidae. The transcript has 6 exons. The record is from RefSeq and is a predicted model, not a curated record.
GCACAAGUGGGAGGAGCAGCAGAGGGAGUGGGGAAGCAGGCUCCCUGCUCAGCAGGGAGCCUGAUGCGGGACUCAAUCCCAGGAUCCUGAGAUCAUGACCUGAGCCCAAGGCAGAGGCUUAACCCAUUGAGCCACCCAGAUUUUUAUUUAUUCAUUUGAGAGAGAGAGAGCGAGCACAAGCAGCGGGGAGCAGCAGAGGGAGACGCAAAUUCUGCUGAGCUGGGAGUCUGAUCUGGAGUUCCAGCCUAGGACUUGGAGAUCACAACCUGAGCUGAAAACAGGUGCUUAACUGACAGAGUUACCCAGAAUACCAUGUUGAAGACAAAUUAUAAGAAACUUAAACUUUGAGAUUUUAAAAAAUGAAAGAAAAAUUAAAAUGAAGACAAGUUAGAAAAAGAGAUCAGAAAAAUUGCAGAGCUGCUGUAACAUGCUGGAUGAGGAGGCCAUGUUUUCAAAUGUUGCAAAGAAUUUAAGGGCAGAAAAACCCAAUUUGAUAAUGCAGUGUAAGGUUCUGAAGUUACUCUCCGUCUCGCUGAAGAAAUGACUGCGGGCACAUUGUUCUUAGCUGUCCAUUCCAUCCAUUGGGACACAAUGAAGGGGAGACGCUGACAUUCAAACAGACGAGCUGCAUAAAGCAGGCUAUGUACAAACUGGAAUUGGGGUCUCCAAUCAGAAAAGGUUUUUAUGUCUGUUCCCAUUGAGAACUUGGUUUAGACAAGCUCUGUUACAGGUCAGAAGAAAAUGUAAGAUGGGUUUUUCUACCCCAUCUGACAGCUUCAGUUCGUCAGAAAAGAGAGCUAAACACAGCUGUGAAGACAGAAGGCUGAGGCAGCAUUCUCUUAAUGACUUGGGACAACUCUGAACCACUGUUCACAAUGAUUCCAGUGAAUGCGGCAGCAGAAGUCCUAUGACUUCGGCAUGGAAACAGCAGCAGCCCUCAAGGAUUUCUGGAUUUUAUUUUACUUAUUUUUUAAAGAUUUUAUUUGUUUAUUUGCCAGAGAGAGAGAGAGCACAAGCAAGAGGAGUGGCGGGCAGAGGAAGAGAGAGAGGCAGACUUCCCACUGAGCAAGGAGCCCCAUGCCCCUGAGAUCAUGACCUGAGCUGAAGGCAGACUGAGCCACCCAGGCACCUCGGAUUUCUGUAUUUUAAAUGAAUGAACAAAAUGAUUUGUGAGGCUUGUCAAAAUAAAGGGCAAAAUAUCAACCUUCUUUGGGCUGGAGAGAGAAAGAGGAAAGGGUUAACUACCAGUGGGAGAUUUCCAAAGCCAAAGGUGCCUUAAUUUCUACAUAGCUUUUUUUUUUUUCUUUCCACUAAUUAUUAUAUUUAGCAAAGUUCUCUGUUUCUCACCGUUACUAAAUAUGGCAUUUAGAAUGACUGGCCCUUUUGAUGUUUCAUGAAUUAAAACUUCUAAGUUGUUAGAAGAUAAUUUUGUCUCUCUUAUUUAACAUCAUGAAAAAUGAUUGUUUUGAAGGUCUGAGAAAAAAAAAUGAUAUUACAAAAAGGUGGUCCCUCUACCUCACUUCAGUUUCCACUUGAAUUGCCUGAUUUCUUUUUCCCUUCCUCCCUCCCUUCCUCUUUGCUUCCUCUUUGACUUUCUUGCUUCCUUCUUUCUGUCCUCUUAUCCCCAAAUGUACAAAGCAUGCAAGGCACAA